This 468-nucleotide ribosomal RNA is filed under the name uncultured bacterium. Its description in RNAcentral is "partial 16S ribosomal RNA". It matches the Rfam family "Bacterial small subunit ribosomal RNA", at positions 28 to 507 of the family's 1533-position model. The record is from RNAcentral.
GACGAACGCUGGCGGCGUGCUUAACACAUGCAAGUCGAACGGAAAGGCCCUGCUUUUGUGGGGUGCUCGAGUGGCGAACGGGUGAGUAACACGUGAGUAACCUGCCCUUGACUUUGGGAUAACUUCAGGAAACUGGGGCUAAUACCGGAUAGGAGCUCCUGCUGCAUGGUGGGGGUUGGAAAGUUUCGGCGGUUGGGGAUGGACUCGCGGCUUAUCAGCUUGUUGGUGGGGUAGUGGCUUACCAAGGCUUUGACGGGUAGCCGGCCUGAGAGGGUGACCGGCCACAUUGGGACUGAGGUACGGCCCAGACUCCUACGGGAGGCAGCAGUGGGGAAUAGUGCAAGAUGGGCGGAAGCCUGAUGCAGCAACGCCGCGUGCGGGAUGACGGCCUGCGGGGUGGAAACCGCUUUAGCCUGUGACGAAGCGUGAGUGACGGUAAUGGGUAAAGAAGCACCGGCUAACUACGUG